RNAcentral lists this transfer RNA (78 nucleotides) under Acidobacteriota bacterium. Its description in RNAcentral is "Acidobacteria bacterium tRNA-His". It matches the Rfam family "tRNA". Rfam says of the family: Transfer RNA (tRNA) molecules are approximately 80 nucleotides in length. RNAcentral also lists the same sequence under 1 other name. The record is from RNAcentral. Lineage: Bacteria; Pseudomonadati; Acidobacteriota.
GCUGGCGUAGCUCAGUUGGUGCAGAGCGCCUGACUGUGGAUCAGGAGGUCCCCGGUUCAAGUCCGGGCGCCAGUACCA